CCUCUACAUAUACUUAUACAACACAAUAUAUAAGUCACCUCGCUCUCUCUCUCUCUCUCUCUAUAUAUAUAGAGUGAGGCUACUAUACUAUCGGAAGUACAGAGCCUUCCGUGCUUCCAGCUCGUUUUUGAUGUUGCGACUUUCGAAUCGUCGAUCGGCUCCGUUAAACUUGAUCUAGAGUAUUUGGAGUACCUAGAAAAUAAAUUUUAUGAUUUUACGAUAUCAUUUGCCUAGUGAACGAAGGGGCUCAAAAUCAACGGCUGAAAAUAAAAAUCUUACAAAAUGUAAUAAUAUGACAUUAAAAUUUUAAAUCAAAGAUAUUGAUCUUGUUUUAUAUAGUAUAAAGAAUUUUCUAUCAAAAUUUCACGUGAUUUGAAUAUUUUUACACCGUUAAACUUGCAAACGGCUCACUACGGCCAUUGAAAUUUAUUGAUUUUGAGCUCAUUCGAUUACUUGGCAAAUGAUAUCGAAAAAUAAUAAAAUUUAUUUUUUAGGUACUCCAAAUACUCUAGAUCAAGUUUAACGGAGCCCGAUCGACGAUCCGAAAGUCGCAAAAUCGAAACGAGCUGGAAUCACGGAAGCCUCCGUGCUUCCGAUAGCAUCGUAGCCUCACUCUCUCUCUCUAUCGCGCUACGCGACAACAAUCUCACACGACCACGAAGCAUCAGACUCUCAUGUAAGAAGAACGACAUCCUGAAAGCAUACCCCUCACGUGCCAAGGUGCCCUCCCUUCUAAUCUCACCGCCGUUACCCACGACCGCUCUCUCUUACUGGCUUCACCUCUAGUCUCUCUAUCAGCUCUCUCUCUCUCUCCUACUCAACAUCCUCCCGUCUCUCCUCUCUCUCUCUUUUUCUCAGCCUCUCUCCUCCCCUCUCCCUUCUCCUCCUCCGUCUCUGACUUCUCCUUCGUCUCUCCUCCUAUACUCCGAACUCUCUACUCAUGCUCUCUCGCAAAUCUCUCCUCCUCUCUGCUGUCUCUCUCUAUAUAUAUAUAAUAAUAUAUAUAUAUAUAUAAUAUAUAUAGAGUAGGGCUACUUGGCUAUUAGGAGCACAGCAGCCUUUGUGCUCCUAAGUUCUUUACCGCCCAUCGAAUUUGAUGGUGGUUAGAGUGAAAGCGAAAAGAGAAAUUGAAGAGAAAUUGGGUUUUUAAUUUCUCUCUCUUUGAAUUUCUCUGCUAAUUUCUCUCUCCUUUUCACCUAACCACCCAUCAAAUUUGAUGGGCGGCUAAAGAACUUAGGAGCACAAGGGCUGCUGUGGCUCCUAAUAGUACAGUAGCCCUUACUCUAUAUAUAUAUAUAUAGAGUAUGGCUAGAAUACUUGUAAAAGUAUCACGGGGGUGAUACUUAUGUGUUUUAGCCCUUGGAUGGAGAGAUGUGAGGUUGAGAUGAUGGUGGUAGGUGGUGGUAGAUGGUGGUAGCUGGAAUAGUGUUUAAUCCAAGGGCUAUUAAUAAUCAAAAAGUAAAUCAAUGUCUUAACAACCUAAUAGCACUGAUGGUGAUACUUGUAAAAAGUAUCAUAGCUCAACUCUAUAUAUAUAUAUAUAGUCCUCUACUAUACUAUUGAUAGUAUCAAGCCUUUGGUACUAUUUGAGUUUUCUACGGUUAGAUCUACCCUUUGAUCAUUUCCAUUCGUUAGAUUAUACUAUUAACCUAUCCAACCACUCAACCUUAGGGGCCACUAUCAUCCUACCGCACAUCUUCUUCAUCCAACGGCAAAACCUCAAUAGUACCAAAGGCAUAGUACUAUUGAUAGUAUAGCUGCAUAUAUAUAUAUAUAUAGAGUUGAGCUAUGAUACUUUUACAAGAUCACCAUCAUGGUGCUAUUAGGUUUAAGCCAUUGGAUCUCUUUUUGAUUAUUAAUAGUUCUUGAUUAAACACUAUUCCAGCCUACCCACACCUACCACCACCUACUCCCAUCAUUCUCAACCUCACAUCUCUCUAUCUAAGGGCUAAAAACACACAAGUAUCACUUGAGUGAUACUUGUAAAAGUAUCUAGCCCUACUAUAUAUAUAUAUAUAUAAUAUAUAUAUAUAUAUAUAUAUAUAGAGUGAGGCUACUAUGCUAUCGGAAGCACGGAGCCUUCUGUGCUUCCAGCUCGUUUUCGAUUCGACUUUCGAAUCGUCGAUCGCUCCGUUAAACUUGAUCUAGAUGUAUUUGACCCUAGAAAAUAAAUUAUGAUUUUACGAUAUCAUUUGCCUAGUGAACGAAGGGGCUCAAAUCAACGGCCCGAAAAUAAAAUCUUACAAAAUGUAAUAAUAUGACAUUAAAAUUUUAAAUCAAAGAUAUUUUGAUCUUGUUUUAUAUAGUAUAAAAUUUUCUAUCAAAAUUUCACGUAAUUUGGAUAUUUCUACACCGUUAAACAUGCAAACGGCUCACUACGGCCAUUGAAUUCGUUGAGUUUGAGCCCAUUCGAUCACUAGCAAAUGAUAUCGAAAAAUAAUAAAUUUAUUUUCUAGUACUCCAAAUACUCUAGAUCAAGUUAACGGAGCCGAUCGACGCAUUCGAAAGUCGGCAACAUCGAAAACGAGCUGGAGAGCACGGAAGGCUCCGUGCUUCGAUAACAUAGUAGGGCCAUCAGCUCUAUAUAUAUAUAUAUAUAUAUAUAUAUAUAUAUAUAUAUAUAUAUUGUGAGGGUGAGGAUGUUUGUCAUUCACUAAAAAGUACAACCCACAUUCAAGGCUUUAAUUCAAAUUAUUAAAUCACCGACGCUCUCCUCUGACUUCAAGGUGUCAUUGUACGAUUGGCUGACGAUAUAUACAACUCACAUCAGGCCAUACAGUAUAAAAUGUGUCAUUAUUUUUAACUUUAUUGCUCGUUAAAUUUUAUAAUAUGUACAUUUAUUUUUUUUCUCAUAUAUAGUUUGAUAUGUUAUUAUGCGAAUAUAUGGCUGAUGAUACGUAAAUGAUAUUGUUGAUAGUUGGGAGUCACAUUAAAGACUUUAUCCUCGAUCAUGACAGGAGAGUGCGAUCGAUAGAAGGAGAUCUAUACAUGCAUGGCCUACACUAAUUGAGGAGAAAGCACUGUGUACUUCACUAUGCAUGCAUGCAUGCAUGCAUGGAUUGUUGGCUAGGGUGCAAUUAAAAUGCACCGCACAUUGGUUUUGCCACCACAUGGGGGUGCACUCAUCAUCAUUUGCAUAUCCAUGACAUGCAUGCAUUCGAGGUCAUAUGAUUGGAUCAAGGAGGUGAUGGUAAGGGGCCGGGCCCUCCGUCAAUGGAAAUUCUGGACACAAAUAUGCGUCAAGUGUUGGGAGGGAAGGGGAAAACUUACUGUUUUUGGCACGCAGAUUUGCUUGGAAUUUUGUUUAUUUUUGUAUUCACUCAAACGUUAUAUCCAUUCAUUGGUCGCUUAAUUUACUUGCAUUAAUGGUGAAGUGAGAACAAGAUAUCUCACCAAAUAAAAGGUGAUGAUGGAGAUUUACUAACUAGGAGAAAACAUACUCUUUUCAUUUCUUAACCACAAGAUACACUUACUGAAAGAGAAAAAAAAGAUUUAUUUAUUUUUUUAAAUAUAAAUUAAGUCAAAAAUGUGAAGCAACUAGAUAUAUUACAAAUCUCUCGUACCAAUUAACUAGGUUUCUCUCUCUCUUAGAGAGAGAGAAAAGAAAAAAACUAUAAAGCAACUUUUCUAGGGAUGGUAAUUAAAUCGCAUGUACAUACACUUAUUCAACAUCUCAUGUCUCAAAAAGUCGUUACCAUGAGGAGUCAACUUUUCACAUGGUAGACAUAGAAGACAAUCUCCAUGGAGUAAUUUUUAGAUGACUUAUUUCAACUUCUACACAAAUACUAAAAGCUUACUAUGUAGUUUAUACGGUAGUCACAUAAAAGUUUCGAAUACUCUGAUAAAUAACUUAUUCUAACUUCUACACAUGCCAUGAUUCCGACUUUUUUUAUUGCCAUGUACGACUUCUACUGAUCGAGUAAUGAGGAGACUUAUAUGUUCUCCCAUCUUAGAAAAAUAGAGUACUUAUCGGUUAAGAUGAUGCAUGGAUAGUACACAUCUGAGCCCAUUUCUAUUUGUUUGAUCUUCCAUCUUAGAAAAAUGGACUACAUGUCCUUUUUUUUUUUUUUUUUUUUUUUUUGAGAGAGAGAUAAAAUGGACUACAUGUCGGUUAACAUGAUGCAGAGAUAUAUAGGCUAUAUCUAGCCCAUUUCUAUUUGUGUGGAAACAUGCAUCUUUCUCACGUGCAAAUUGUGAGCCUCUUUACAAUUAAUAGGUGAGACUUAUGGCAUCCUCAUCUGCCUUGCAGGUACGGACGGACCAAUGUGUACCAAUUCGUGUCGAACGUGAUCUUGCGUGUACGAUCUUUCUUUGUUCUCCGUUAAUGCCUUUUUUUCUUGCUUUCCGUCUUAGGCGCAAGUGAUAAAUAACUUAAUAGUUUGUACCUGAACAAGAUGCAAAAUUUGAAACCUAACUAUUUCACAUUUCUAAUUAAGUUUAUUUUUUAAAAAUAACUAACAGACGUGACCGUACUAUGGACAUUUAGCGAAUAAAUGAUAAAAACAUUUGAACAAAUGAACAUAAAUAAAUUAAGCAUCUAGAUAGAGAAACGAGUAUGACUAGAGGAAUAAAAAUCAAAUAGAAAUUAACGUUUUAAAAGUUGUAUAAGUUUUUUUUUUUUUNAUUUUGUUUAUUUCUAAAUUUGAGAGAAAUAUAGUAUGCCAUCCGUUUUGUUUAUUUAUUUUUAAAAUAAAUUUAACGGAAAAUGUAAAUCAAUUAGAAUUCGAACUUGAAAUCUCGGGUACCAAUUAAUCACCAAAUUCUUUGCUACUUGCACUAGGAACGGUCAGUAAAAAAAAAAUGUAUAAGUUAUUAUUUGACUUUUCGAGUUAACUUAAAAAGCUAUCAUAUGUUAAUAAAUUGAAUCAGUAAACUUACGUUUAAGUGUUUAAAAAUAUUUGCAAGUGUUUAAAUUGGAAAAUUAAAUUAGAAUGAGUCACAUCUUUCAGGUCUCUACUAUUCAAAUCUUGCAACUUGGUCUACAUAUAUACUACGUUCUACUCGAACAUUAUAGUUAUUUAUAUAAAAGAAAAAUAAAAAAAAAGAUAAAAAGAGCUCUAAUUAAUUUGCUAAAAGUAAUUAUUUUUAUUCAUUUGUGCAUCCGAAGACAUUGAGAAAGAUUAUAUAGAACAAAGAAAAGAAAUAACUUUUACAUGAGGUGGGAGAGUGGGAGGGUGCUCACAGCAAUACGUACGCAACGGAGAAAGGGGUCUUACAAUAAAAAUUUUAAUAUAAAAUAAAGACGCUUUUUAGACCACACUUGAGGAAUGCAUCCUCAAGCGUUCCUACAAUAUAGCAAAUAUCGACGCUUCAAAAAGUAUCGUCAUAUAAACCUUUUAUUUUACCAAACUAUUUUAUUGAAUGAUAAAUUUUACAAUUAUUUUUAAUUUUUUGUUAUUUUGUAUUGUCAGAAUUUUGAAAAAAUUCUAAAAAAUUUUGACGCUUUAUUAAAGCAUCAGAAUAUAUUUUACCGAUGCUCUACAUAAGCGUCGGUAUAUACGCGACGACUCUUUAGUUGCCUACUAUAUUAUGACAUAGUUAAAUAUAAAUAAAAAAUUCUAAAUGUUAAUUUUCUUGUAAUGGGGGAUGGAAAGGGUGAACAUGCAUAUAUGGCGGGUGAAAAAAGUAUUAGUACAAUUUUGAAAUUUGAAAUAUAAGGAGUAUAUGGAGAUUUUACAUACUGGUCUGAGUAGAUAAUUAUGGAUGAAAGAGAAGUUAGUUAGUAUAAUUUUAAAUUUUGAAAUAUUAGAAGGAUAGGGAUAUAUUACAUAAUUUCGAAAAUAGUAAAGAGGGUAAGAUAAAAAAUAAAUUUGGCAAACCGACCGUCCCUAGAGCAUGUGGCAAAGGGCUUGGUGGUUGGUACCCGAGACCUAAGUUCGAAUUCUAGUCGAUUCACAUUUCUAGCUAAGUUUAUUUUUAAAUGAAAUAAACGAAACGGGUAGCGUGCAUGCUACCUAUCUCUCAAAAAAAAAAAAAAUUUGGCAGAAACUAUUUUCUGAAAGUUUGAAACUAAAGUUAGUUAGUAUAAUUUUGAAAUUUGAAAUAUUACGAGGAUAGGAAUAUAUUGCGUAACUUUGUGAGUAGAUAAUUACAGGUUGAAAUUCGAAAUAUAAGAAGGGUAGGUAUACAUUGCAUUAUUUCAAAAUAAUAAGAGGGUAAAAUAGAAACAAAUUCGACAGGCACAUUCUUUUUUUUUUUUGUGUUCCUCGAAGUUCGAAACCAAAGUUAAUUAGGUAGUGUAAUUUUGAGAUUCGAAGUAUUACGGGCAUAGGGAUAUAUAACGCAGAUUAUUACGGGUGGAACAGAAGCUAGUUUAAUUUUUGAAGGUUAGGCCAAGGAACUGGUAUUUUAAUAGUUGGGUUAAUUUUAUACAGAUCACUAUAAAUAUAGUGAAUGUCAAUUAUAUCUCUACAAAGUUCUACUUCCAUAUGUUGUUCCUGUAAAAAUUCUAAUUUUUCAAACAUGUCCAUCUGUUUUGUUACCGUUAGAGAACCGUUUAUAUUUUUUAUUUUUUCAUCACAAGUAUGCUCUCCAAAAAUAAUAAAGUAUUUAAUCUAUGUUUAACUAAAUUUUUCUGACGGAUUCUAACGGUAAGAACAUAUUUAAAAAUAUCAAAUUUUUAUAAAAGCAACAUACAAACGUUAAACUUCACAAAUAUAUAUUUGUUAAUUGUUAUAUUUGUGGGGAUCUCUAUGAAUUUUUUUAUUUUUUUAAUUUUUUUGAGAGAUAGGUAGCACACUAUCUGCUUCGUUUAUUUUAUUUAAAAAUAAACUUAGCUGUAAAUGUGAAUCAACUAGGAUUCGAACUUGAGUCUCGAGUAUCAACCACCAAACCCUUUGCCACUUGCUCUUGGGACGGUCGGUGAUCUCUAUCAAAUUAGUCCUUAAUAAUUUAUGUUGGACACAUUUCUUGUGUCGGGUCUUGAGACAUUUUGGCUUGGAGCGUCACGUGGACUUUUAUUUGAUACAAUAAGAGAACAGAUAGAAAAGAAAUUGUAACAAUAAUUAAUUAGAUUAGUUUUUAUAUAGGAAGAAGGUGACCAUUAGAAUUUUUUGAAAAACCAUACAUAUAUUUCUAGCAGUAGUGGUUUCUAAAAAGAUUUAUUUGUAAUAACAAGAUUGACAUAAACAGUUAGCUAAACAGUUAGAUAAAUCUAAAAACUGAAAAUGAACUUCCAUUUAUCUAAAUAGCUGCAUAAAAGCAAUAUAUAUGAACCAUCAUUUUAUAGUUCAUUAAAACUAUAUAUAUAUAUAUAUAUAUAUAUAUAAAGUCCGACUAUAGUGCUUGUAAAAGUACAAAGCACUUGGUAUUUGUAAGUUUUUUACCGUUAGAUCUGCGUCUUUGAUCAUUUUCAACCAUUAGAUUAUACUAUUCAACCAACUACCCACUCAACCCUAUGGGACCCACAUCAUCCUAACCGCACAUUCCUUAAUCCAAGGGCCGAAAACUUACAAGUACCAAUGACUUGGUACUUUUAAAAGUAUAGGAGCUCAAUUCUAUAUAUAUAUAUAUGCUACUGCAACUACGGUACUGAAACAAUGCAUCUUGCAUUUUCAAGCUGCGUUCAUGGGAAAUUAAUGAAUCUCUGAUUUGCAAUUGUUUUGUUAGAUUAUCUUAUUGUUAUGCGUCCAUUAAGGUUGUGUUUGAUUGGAGUAUAAGGAGAGGAAUAAGUUCUUAUUCUCUUUCUUAUACCCAAACAGUGUUUUUGAAUUAUGAAAACUGGAGUUCUCUUUAAUUAGGAACAAGGAGAAUUAAGAGUGGAACAACUUUUCUGUAACAAGUAAUUAAAAUUAAAAUCUAAUUUUGAUUAUUGUAUCAACUUACUAAUUAAUCUAAUUAAUAUAUUUAAGUCAUUAUCUAUUGUAUAAAUUCUUGUGUAAUUAAUUAAUUUAUUAUUUAUGGUACAUUAGCUCAUUAAAAAUUAAUUAUUUAAUGUGUUUAUAGAUCCGAGGAGUUAAAGAAUUGAGCUCCUAUGUUUUUAAAAGUAUCAAGUUAUUGGUGCUUGUAGAUUUUUAGCCAUUGGAUUAAAAGAUAUGCGGUUAGGAUGAUGUGGGUCCCCUAGGGUUAAGUGGGUGGUUGGUUGAAUAGUAUAAUCUAAUGGUUGAAAAUGAUCCGAGGAGUAGAUCUAACGGUAAAAAACUUACCAAGCACCAAUCUUUGGUACUUUUACAAGCACCAUAGCCGACUCUUGAGUAAUAUAUAUAUAUAUAUAUAAUAUAUAUAUAUAUAUAUAUAUAUAUUAUAUAUAUAUAUAUAUAUAUAUAUAUAUAUAUAUAUACUAUAUUAUAUUACUUAUAAAAGCGUGAGUUUUUAAUUUUUUUCUUUUUUCAAAAAUGCCUCAUAUCUUUUUUACUAAUAUUUUUAUGUCCAGUAAUUUUCAACCAAUCAUUUCAAAUAAUUCACUAUGUAAUAAUUUAUUCUCAAUAAAGAUAUUAAUUUUUUGCCAUUAGAUCUUAUCUAACGAUUGAAAAUAAAAGUAUCUGUCAAUUUUGUGACAAUAAUACCUUACAUUUAUAUCUAUUUUUAUCUACGCGUUCUCAAAUAUUUUCCUUUCUCACGUAUAAUAUAUGUACCACGUCAAUCCUUUCUACAUAUACGUCCGUAAAUUUCUCAAAUAUCUCAUUAAUCUACCUAUCAUAUACGUCAACACCUACAUAAAUAUCGGUUAACCUUUCUCACACGUAAUAUCCACGCAUUUUUCAAAUAUCUCAUCAAAAUUUAAAUCCUUUCCUCUUGUUUCUCAAUUGUCGACUUCGCCACCUUUGCCACAUUUGAGAGAGUAUUUUGAUCUAAACUGAAUUUUUUUAAUAUGGUUUUAUACUAUUUUUAGCAUAUUUUUUUUUAGUAUUUUCUCAUUUAAUUUAUUCAUUUUGGUAGACCCAGAUCAUCUUAACAUAGAUAUAUAGGAAACUCUAAACCGGCUUAAGAUUUUUGGAUGGUGCAAGCCGAAGAGUUAAGAGAUUAACUGCUAGUAGACGGGAAGUCCUUAGGAUGGUACCCCUGGGAAGUCGGGGCGUCACAGAGGUAUCCAAGCCAUUACCACCGGAAAUGUGAGAUGAGUCUCGCGAGCCAGGACCUGAUCACGGUCUAGCGAGACGAGUCUCACAUCGCUGGUACUUGUUGAGUCUGAGGCCUAACGAGGUACGUUAGGGGGCUUAGCGAGGUUGAGAUUGUGACCCAGAUAGUCCUUAUAUAUAGAUAUAAAAGGCUAAACCUUAACAUCACGGUUUAAGCAUAAUUAGUGGUGGUGAAGGCCAAGAGGUUAAGAGAGAUAAAGUGUGGCUAAACGGGAGUAGUUCCUUCAGAUGGGUGACCCUGGGAAGAUCGAGCGUGACACAUUUAUCAAAUAUAAAUAUAUUUAUAUUAGUAAUAUUUUUUCAUUCAUCCUAUAUGUUUUUCAAAAUAAUUCCAAAUAUUUUGGGUAGAUAUUAUUUUUUUUAUUUGUCCCCUCGCGUCGCACCGCGCAUUCGUGCAUCAGUUGCUCCUCAUCACGUACCCGGCUUCGGCACAUUGUCACUCGACAUCUACCCGCCGCGCACAUUAUCAAAAUAAUUUUAAAUUUUAAAUUUUGUUAAAAAUUUUUAAUGUGAAUUCAUUCAACAUUAAAAUUAGCAAUUAAAUUCAAAUUUUAAAUAUGUAUACACUUAAAAAAAAUGUUAUAUUAUAAAAUAAAUAUGAAAAGUAUUCUAUACCAAGUUAUAUUAUAAAAUAAAUUGAUAUCAUUAACUUAAAUUGAGAAUCUAAAUUCAAAUUUUAAAAUUUGUAUAACACGUUAAUGAACAAAUUGUAUAUUAUAAAAAUAAUUUUAUAAUUUAAACUUUUGAACCUCUUAAUAAGCCUAUUUAUAUUAUUUAUUAUAUAUUUUAUAUCAUUAUAUCUAAUUUAUAUUAUCUAUCUUUUCUUCAAUAUAUGAGCUCCUUAUGCUUUAAAAGUACUAAGUUAUUGGUGCUUGUAGAUUCCAAUUGGAUUUAAGAUGAUUAUUGUGGUUAGGAUGAUGUCGCUUCUCCUAGGUUGUAGUAGGUGGGUUGUUGAAUAGUAUCUAUUUAUUCUCUAAUGGGUUGAACAAAUGAUUCGAAAAGUAUAUCUAUACGGUAAAUAAACUUUUGUACAAGUACAAGUGUUUUGGUACUUUAAAGCACCAUACGCUGAAAUCUCUCUCUCUCUCUUCUUCUAUCGUCUCUCCUCUGUUUCUUCUUGCUUUUUUUGUUUUUAUUUCUUUUUCGCGCGCGGGCCCUCGGGCGCGCAUCCGAUCUCUCUCUCUAAUAUAUAUAUAUAUAUAUAUAUACUAUAUGAUUAACUAUAUCUAUAUAUAUAUAUUAUAUUAUAUAUAAUAUAUAUAAUAUAUAUAUAUAUAUAGCUGGGGUACUAUACUCAUAUAUAGUAUAGAACCUUUGUACUCAUAAAUUUUCGACCGUUCAGCAUAAAAAUGUACGGUUAUGAAUGAGAAUGGUUACGGUUAGGUUGAUAGUGGCCCCUAGGUUUGAUGAACGUGGUGUUGAAUGUAUCAAUCUAACGAGUGAAAUAAAUUAAAGGGUAGAAUCUAACGGCAAAAACUUAUGAGUACGAGCAGUCCUCUAUAUCAUAAGAGUAUUAGUACCGGACUCUAUAUACUAUAUAUUUAUCUAUAUAUAUAGCAGUUGAGCUGAAUACUCUCGAUAGUAAACCAGGGCAUUUUUACUAUCGAGUUGGUUUUCGAUGAUAGAGCUUCCAAAUUGACCGAUCGGCUUCCCGUUGAACAUGAUCUAUACCACUUAAGUGUUUAGAAAUCAAUUUCAAUCUUUUCAACAUUAUCUUUGGCCUAAUGAUCAACCAGGGUUCAAAAUUUGGUAAUUUAAUAGUGGAUAAGAAGACGUUUUUUCGUUUUAACGUGUAAAGAUAUUCAAAUCAAUUGAUUUUUUGUUAAAAAUUCUUUAAACUAUUUAAACAAGAUCUAUACUCUUGAUCUUUGAUUACAGACCCUAUCAUCAUUUUAAAGAAUAUUCAUUUUAACCAUUCAUUUCUGUUCAAUAGAUGGAUUAAAAGAACAAUAUCGACAAGUGCGUGAAAUUUGAUUUCUAGGGUAGUUAAAAAUGGUUUAGAUCAUAUUAACGAGCCCGAUCGUCAAUUUUGAAGCUCUAUCAUCGCGAAACAAACUCGAUAGUAAAUGCUCGCGUUUACUAUCGGAGUAUGUCCUAGCUCAACUCUCUCUCCUAAUAUAUAUAUAAUUAAAUAAUAACUAGGCUGGAAUGCUAUCAAUAGCACCAAGUUGUUGGUUGUGUUAUUGAGCUUUUUAGCCCUUGGAGUAAGAAUAUGCGAGUUAGAUUGAUGCUGGGCCCCCUAUGGUUUGAGUGCGGAGUUGGGUUGAAAUUAUAAUCCCAACAGAUAAAAAAUAAUCAAAGAAGUUAAUCUAACGGGCAGAAAACUUAAUAGUACCACAAUGUGUUUGGUGCUACUCGCAAUAGCAUAGGCAGCCGGAAAAAUUAAAAAAAUAUAAUAUAUCAUAUAUAUUACAUACAUUAAUAAUACCUAUAGCUAUAUAUAUACUAGUGAGGCUACUAUGCUCUGGCAAGUAUGAAGCCUUCCGUGCUUCCAGGAUGUUUUUUAUGUUGCGAUUUUCGAAAUCGUCGAUCGGACUCCUUAAACUGAAUCUACGAGUAUUCUGAAAAACCCUAGCAAAUAAAUUAUGCCAAUUUUUUAAUAUUAUUCUGUCCCCCUGCCUAAGUGAACGAAGGGGCUCAAAAAUCAACGCUUGAAAUAAAAACUUAUAAAACGGUGAUACCAUAUGAAAUUAAAAUUUUAGAUUAAAAGAUAUUGAUCUUGUUUUAUAUAGGUAUCAAAGAAUCUGUCUAUCAAAAUUUCACGUAUUUGGAUAUUUCUAUCACCGUAAACUGCAAACCGGCUCCACUGCACCAUUACAAAAUUUUGAAUUUUUGCACUUUCCGAUUACUAGCGUACACAUAAAUCGAAAAAUCAUAAAAUUAUUUUCUAGAUACUUAAAAUACUCUAGAAUGAAAUUUAACGGAGCCGAUCCGACCGAUUCAAAAUCGUAACAUCGAAAAACGACCUGGAAGGAUGGAAGGCAACGAUCUGAAGAGGAUGGAAGGUCCGUGCUUCCCAGAAGCAUAGUACCUUCUCCCACUCUUCCCCGUUCUCUCUCUCCUAUAUAUAUAUAUAUAAUAUAUACUACUCAUAAUAUACUAUACCUAUAUACUUUGUGAGGGUGAGCGAUGUUUGUCAUUCACAACACAAGUUUACAACCACAUUCAAGGCUUUAAUUCAACAUUAUUAAAUCACCGACGCUCUCCUCUGACAUUCAAGGUUCAUUGUAGCGAUUGGCUGACGAUAUAUACAACGUCACCAUCAGGCAUAGCAGUAAUAAAUGUGUCAUUAUUUUUAACUUUAUUGCUCGUUAAAUUUUAUAAUAUGUACAUUUAUUUUUUUUCUCAUAUAUAGUUUGAUAUGUUAUUAUGCGAAUGACUGAUGAAACGUAUAUAAUAUUUGUUGAUAGUUAGGGGUCACAUUAAAGACUUUAUCCUCGAUCAUGACAGGAGAGAGCCAUCGAUAGAAGGAGAUCUGUAUAUACAUGCAUGGCCUACACUAAUUGAGGAGAAAGCAAUGUGUACUUCACUAUGCAUGCAUUCAUGCAUGCAUGGAUUGUUGGCUAGGGUGCAAUUAAAAUGCACCGCACGUUGGUUUCGCCACCACAUGGGGGUGCACUCAUCAUCAUUUGCAUAUCCAUGACAUGCAUGCAUUCGAGGUCUUAUGAUUGGAUCAAGGAGGUGACGGUAGGGGGGUCCUUUGUCAAUGGAAAAUCUGGACACAAAUAUGCGGGAAAAUUAACGUACUUACUAUUUUUAGCACGCGGAUUUGCUUGGAAUUUUGUUUAUUUAUGUAUUCACCCAAACGUUAUCUCCAUUCAUUGGCCACUUGAUUUAUUUGCAUUAAUGGUGGAGUCGGAACAAGACAUCUCACCAAAUAAAAGGUGAAGAUGAGAUUUACUAACUAGGAGAAAAUUCCUUUCAUCAUUUCUUAACCACAAGAUACACUUACUGAGAAAGAAAGAUAGAUUUAUUUAUUUUGUAAAAAUAAAUUAAGUUAAAAAUAUAAAGCAACUAGAUAUAUUACAAAUCUCUCAUACCAACUAGGUUUCUCUAUCUCUGAGAGAGAGAGAGAGAGAAAAGAAAAAAACUAUAAAGCCACUUUUCUAGGGAUGGUAAAUUGCAUGUACAUACACGUAUUCAACAUCUCAUAUCUCAAAAAGUCGUUACUAUGAGGAAUCAACUUUUCACAUGGUAGACAUAGAAGACAAUCUCCAUGGAAUAAUUUUUAGAUAACUUAUUUCAACUUCUAUGCAAAUACUAAAAGUUUACUAUGUAGUUUAAGCGGUAGUCACAUAAACAAUAUUUCUAAUACUCUAAUAAAUUACUUAUUCUAACUUCCACACAUGUCAUGAUUCCGACUUUUUGAUUGCCAUGUGCAACUUCUGCUGAUCGACUAACGACGAGAGUUAUAUGUUUUCCCAUCUUAGAAAAUGGGAGCACUUAUCGGUCAAAAUGAAGCAUGGACAGGACACAUCUGAGCCCAUUUCUAUUUGUUUGAUCUUUCCAUCUUAGAAAAAUGGACUACGUACAUGUCCUUUUUUUUUUUGAGAGAGAGAUAAAAUGGACUACAUGCCGGUUAAAAUGAUGCAGGGACAGGCUACAUCUAGUCCAUUUCUAUUUGUGUGGAAACAUGCAUCUUAAUUUCUCAUGUGCAAUUUGUGAGCCUCUUUACAAUUAAUAGGUGAGACUUUUGGUAUCCUCAUCUCCCCUGCAGGACGUACGGUUGGACCAAUCAUGCGAACCAACUCGCGUCAACCGUGAUCUUGCGUAUACGAUCUUUCUUUCUUCUCCUUUAAUGCCUUUUUUAUUUUAUUUUUUUUUGGCUGUCCUCUCUCUAGUGUAAGUGAUAAAUGGCUUAAUAGUUUGUACUGGAACGAAAAUACAAAGUUCGAAAUCUAAUUAUUUGAUAUUUCUAGCUAAAUUUAUUUCUUAAAAACACUAGGUGAUGUGACCGUAUUAUGGACAUUUAGCGAAUAAAUGAUAAAAACAUUUGAACAAAUGAACAUAAAUAAAUUAAGCAUCUAGAUAGAGAAACGAGUAUGACUAGAGGAAUAAAAAUCAAAUAGAAAUUAACGUUUUAAAAGUUGUAUAAGUUUUUUUUUUUUGAGAGAGAAAGAUAGUAUACUAUCCGUUUCGUUUAUUUUUAAAUUUGAAAGAAAGAUAGUAUGCUCUUUGUUUCAUUUAUGUUUUUAAAAAAUAAAUUUAGCUGUAAAUAUGAAUGAAUUAGGAUUCGAACUUGAAAUUUUAAGUACCAACUACUAAACAUUUUUCUACUUGUACUAGAGACGAUCAGAAAAAAAAAAAAAUUGUAUAAGUUAUUAUUUGACUUUUCUAGUUAAACUUAAAAAGCUAUCAUAUGUUAAUAAUAAAUUGAAUCAGUAAACUUACGUUUAAGUGUUUAAAAAUAUUUGCAAGUGUUUAAAUUGGAAAAUUAAAUUAGAAUGAGUCACAUCUUUCAGGUCUCUACUAUUCAAAUCUUGCAACUUGGUCUACAUAUAUACUACGUUCUACUCGAACAUUUUAGUCUUUUAUAUAAAAGAAAAAUAAAAAAAAAAGAUAAAAAGAGCUCUAAUUAAUUUGCUAAACCAACGCUCAAACCUUAAAAGUAAUUAUUUUUAUUCAUUUGUGCAUCCGAAGACACUGAGAAAGAUUAUAUAGAACAAAGAAAAGAAAUAACUUUUACAUGAGGUGGGAGAGUGGGAGGGUGCUCACAGCAAUACGCAUCGGUGAAAGGUGUCUCACAAUUUUUUUUUUUAAUAUAAAGACGCUUUUUAGACAACACUUGAGGGACGUGUCCUCAAGCGUUUCUAUAAUAUAUAGCAAAUAUUGACGCUUAAAAAAAUAUCGUCAUAUAAACCCUCUAUUUUACCAAACUAUUUUAUUGAACGAUAAAUUUUACAAUUUCUUUUAAUUUUUUGUUACUUUGCAGCGUCAGAAUUUUAAAAAUAUUCUGAAAAAUUCUGACGCUUUAUUAAAACGUCAGAAUAUAUUUUAUCGACGCUCUACAUAAGCGUCGGUAUAUACACGACGACUCUUUAGUUGCCUACUAUAUUGUGACGCUUUUAAGAUAGUUAAAUAUAAACAAAAAAAUCCUAAAUGUUAAUUUUCUUGUAACGGGGGAUGGAAAGGGUGAACAUGCAUAUAUGGCCGGUGAAAAAAGUAUCAGAACAAUUUUGAAAUUUGAAAUAUAAGGAGUAUAUGGAGAUUUUACAUAAUUUUGUGACUAGAUAAUUAUGGAUGAAAGAGAAGUUAGUAUAAUUUUAAAUUUUGAAAUAUUAGAAGGAUAGGGAUAUACUACAUUAUUUCAAAAAUAGUAAAGAGGGUAAGAUAAAAAAUGAAUUUGGCAGAAACUAUUUUCUGAAAGUUUGAAACUGAGAUUCGAAGUAUUACGAGGAUAUAGGGAUAUAUAACACAGAUUAUUACGGGUGGAAAAGAAGCUAGUUUAAUUUUCGAAGCUUAGGCUAAAGAACUGGUAUUUUAAUAAUUGGGUUAAUUUCGUACAUAUAUAUAUAUUUAUAGAGUUGGACUGGGCCACUAUUAGUAGCAAAAUUCCAUUAUUGCUACCAGUUUUUUACCCUUCGGAUCAACUCUUUUCAUUAUUUCUAACCAUUGGAUUAAAUACUAUAACCCAGUAGGGACCACUCAACCCUAGCUGGACCACUCAACUCUAACCGACUAAUGUCAUCUUGAUCAUACAAUUUUUCAUCCAAGCAUUAAAAACUUGAUAGUAAAAAAAGCGUUUUACUAUUAAUAGUAUUCCAGCCUAAUUCUAUAUAUAUAUAUAUAUAUAUAUAUAUGGUGAAUGACAAACAUAUCUCUACAAAGUUCAACUUUCAUAUAUUAUUUUUAUAAAAAUUUUAAUAUUUUCAAAUAUGUCCUUCUAAUUUAUUAUUGUUAGAGAACUGUUUGUAUUUUUAAUUUUGUCAUCACAAAUAUACCGCUCCAAAAAUAAUAAUAUUAUAAUAUAAGAGGGAUAAAAAUGUUAAAAACUAAUCAGGGUAAAAUAUUUAAUCUAUAAUUAACUAAAUUUUUCUGACGAAUUCUAAUGGCAUGAACAUAUUUGAAAAUAUCAAAAUUUUUAUAAAAGCAACAUAUACAAGUUAAACUUUAAAAGUAUAAAUUUGUUAAUCAUUAUAUUUGCGGGGAUCUGUAUGAAAUUAGUCCUUAAUAAUUUAUGUUGGACACAUUUCUUGUGUCGGGUCUUGAGACAUUUUGGCUUGGAGCGUCACGUGGACUUUUAUUUGAUACAAUAUGAAAACAUGCAUCCACUAUAUAUAACUAGAAACUUGAACUUUGGGGAAUAAGUAUUUUUUACGAGUUAAAUAAUAAGAAUAAUUUCAUACAGCUUUCUAUAAAUAUAUAUUCAAUAGUAGAUAUAUUUUUAGACAGAUUAACUUAUCAUAUUUAUCAUUUAAAAAAUUUUAACGGUUUUAAAUAUAUUCCUACUGUUAGUGUCCGUUAAAAAUAUAUAAUUAAUCAUAGAUAAAAUAUUUAACCUUGAUUAGUGAAUGAGAUAAAUUAAUUUUUUUACUUCCUUGCUAUUAUAUCUUUUUCUCUCGAUCAAAAUUUUAGUUCAAUCAAAAACCCUAACAAUGAAACACCUCUUCCUCUUCCUCUUUCUCAUUCUCUCUGUCAUUCAUUCUAGUUUCGAACUCGUAACUAAAAUUUCUCCGUUCCCAAUCAUUCAUGACACAUGUUGCUUCAUUCAUGUCGAGCGCCGGAGAAUCAGUAUUAAAUAGGUAGAGAAGAAAAAAAGUAAGAGAACAAACAGAAAAGAGAUUGUAACAAUAAUAAAUUAGAUUAGUUUUUAUAUAGGAAGAAGAUGACUAUUAGAAUUUUUUGAAAGAACAUACAUAUAUUAUUUUUUGAAAGAACAUACAUAUAUUUCUAGCAUUUGCGGUUUCUAAAAAGAUUUAUUUGUAAUAACAAGAUUGACAUAAACAGUUAGCUAAACAGUUAGAUAAAUCUAAAAACUGAAAAUGAACUUCUUUUUAUCUAAAUAGCUGCAUAAAAGCAAUAUAUAUGAACCAUCAUUUUAUAUGCUACUGCAACUAGGGUACUGAAACAAUGCAUCUUGCAUUUUCAAGCUGCGUUCAUGGGAAAUUAAUGAAUCUCUGAUUUGCAAUUGUUUCGUUAGAUUGUCUUAUUGUUAUGGGUACAUUAAGGUUGUGUUUGAUUGGAGUAUAAGGAGGGGAAUAAGUUCUUAUUCUCUUUCUUAUACCCAAACAGCAUUUUUGAAAUAUGAAAACUGGAGUUCUCUUUUAUUAGGAACAAGGAGAAUAAGAGUGGAACAACUUUUCUGUAACAAGUAAUUAAAAUUUAAAUCUAAUUUUGAUUAUUGUAUCAACUUAUUAAUUAAUCUAAUUAAUAUAUUUAAGUCAUUAUCUAUUGUAUAAAUUGUUGUGUAAUUAAUUAAUUUAUUAUUUAUGGUACAUUAGCUCAUUAAAAAUUAAUUAUUUAAUGUGUUUAUCUAAUAACUAAUAUUUAUAUGGAUCAACUAAUUUAAUUAAUUGUUAACAAAUUAUCUAACUAAUUAAAUAAUUUACUAAUUAAUUAAAAAGUUAAGUUAUAUUUUAUAAUUUAUUAAAUAAUUACUUAAUAUGAUUAUUUAGUUAAUAUAUAUUUUCAUUACCUUUUACAAUAUUCUUAGCUAAUAAAUUUUUAAAUUUAUUAAAUUAUUUUUAAUUAAUAUUUAAUAUUAAAUAAUUUGAUAAAAUAUUAUUAAUUUAAAAUUAUAAUUAUUUUUAUUCCCACUAGUUAUUCCAAUCUAAUCAUAUAAAUACUAUUUACUUUAUUUUUAAAAAUAAUUAAAUUUUUAUCUAAAUAAAAUUUUACUCUAGAAUACCUAUUUUUGAAAUAAGCUGUUCUUAUUUACAUACAUGAACAUACAUGGGCAGACGAUGAAUAUUCGCGAGUAUGAAAUAAAUAAAAUAUACUAUUAUCACUACAACAAAAUUAGGUUAUAGGGACACAUGUUUGGGACACUUUUGAAUAAGUGUCCCAUUUAUACUAAAACUUAAAAAAAUAUCUACUAAUGCCUAAAUAUAAAGCCCAAUCCAACCAAAAAUAAAAAAUUACUCUACUCAACCCACCACAUCCAGUCCAUUUGACCCGAUUACAAACAGAAAAAAAAAAAGAAAAAUCAAUUACCAUCUUUUCUUCUUUCUUCACUCAAUCCACCGAAAUUCUAUACGAAGAGCCUUUCCUGUCGUCCUCCUCCGCCACCGCAGCCAACAAGAUAGAGUUUCGGCGUUUGCUAAAUACUUAAAUAAGUGUUGGUAAAUUAGCAACAUUUUUUUAGGUUAUAGCGACACUCUUUAACUGUCACUAUAUACCUAGCAACCCCACAUAUAGCAACACUUUUUAAAGUGUCGGUAAUUUUAGCUAGUAGUAUUUUUUUGACAUGUACCUAUAUUUAAAAGUAUCGCUAUAAACCGUUUUUGUUGUAGUUUAUUAUCUUAUAUAAAGGGCGUACUUGGAGUGGAUUUACAGCAUGCAUGGCCCAUGUGCUCCUCUCAUUCGACACGUCAUCGAAACCCUCCACUUUUCUCUCAGAUUAUACUCUAGAAUUUCUAUCUCUGAAAUAAACAAUUUUUAUUUAUAUCUGAACCAAAUGAAGCAUUAAACUUUAUACAUGAACAAACGAUGAAUAUUGACGAGUACGAAAUAAAUAGGUAUAUUAUUAUUAUUUAUAUGGAUUUGCAGCAUGGCCCACGUGCUCCUCGUUCGACACGUCGAUAACGCGACAAAACCCUCAAUUUUUCUCUCUGAUUAAGAGGGGAUGCAUACCAAGCAUGCAUCCUUUUUAUUUCCCCACCCCUACACAUGAUCUCUCUCAUUGCAUGCACGUCCAUUGGUCCACCGCCUUAGCUUAUUGAAUGUAAGUAACAAAACCUACUAGUAUAGGACCUGCGCUUUGCGACGAAUAGAUAGUAUUUUAAUCGUUGAAAGGAGAAGAGUGUUGCAGCGAAUUAAACUAAAAAUUUUAUUAAAUAUUUUUAAACUAAAUUUUGGUAGUGUAUUAUUUUCCACAUAUUUACAAUAGUCUAUAUAUAAGAACAAAUCAAAAAAUCCUAAUAGCAAUAAUUGAAUAAAGAUUUAAACUUAUCUCUUAUGUUUAACCAAUAAAAUAUUAAGAGAUAAACUUGAUAGAAAUGAAUGUGAACUUAUCAAAAAUGUUUGGUUACUUAUCAACAUUAACCAAUUAACAUGUACAUGUUUAUUAAAAUUUUAAUUUUAAAAAAUUAUAGCUAAAAAAAUGUAUGUACAUUAUAAAAAAUAAUUUUUUAUUAAUAAUUUUUUAUUUUUAAUAUUUAUGCAGUUAAAUUAUUCUAAUAACUUUAUUUUAAAAUUUUAAUUAAAUUUAAUGGUUUUGAUAGCUAUUUUAUAAAAAAAAAAUUUUAACUAAAAAGUUAAAGUUGGAGGACUUAUAUUAGAUGAUUUUAUCUUAUUAAAACUAAACUUUAUUUAUGUUAAAGUCAAAUUAAAAAAUAUAUGCGGAUGUCUUAUAUACCGAAUGUACAGCUUUUUAUGCACUGUAUUUAUAAAAUUUUGUUAUAAAAGUAAAAAUCUAUUAAUUUUGUAUCUAGAUUUUUUACAUAUUAUAAAUUAUAUUUAUCAGAUAAAAUUUUAAUUUUAUUAUAUUAAUUAUUAAAACAUAGCGUUGGAUCAUAUGAUGAAUUUUUAGAGAAACGAAAAAAGUGGGCUCUACUGAUUUGCCGCAAUACCAAGUGAAUAAUUUUUUUUGCACCGUAUUUAUAAUAUUUUAUUAUAAAUAUUAAAAUAUAUUAAUUUUUGUAUUUAUAUUGUUUUAUAUAUUAUAAAUUGUAUUUAUCACAUAAUUUUUUAAUUUUAUUAUAUUAAUUAUUUAAAAAUAAAUUUGAUUUAUAUGAUAAAAUUUUACACCUGAUGUAUGCUAAAACAAAAUAGAAAGUGUUGGUUCACAUGAAUGAGAGAGAGAGGACAGAAAAAAGUAGGGUCCACCGAUUUGUCCCAAAACCGGAGAGCAUGGUUUUACACUUUUCGGAUUCCCCUUUUAUGUUUUCAGAGAAUAAUGAUUAUUUUAUAUUAUUUAAUUUAAUAUAUAAUAUAUAAUAUUAAAGCAGGAGAUAUUAUAAGUUUGAAUAUUGUUAGGCUCUUAGUCUCAUAUUGUUUAAUUUUUUUUAUUUAAUUCAUGUCUAUGUCUCAAAUCUAUAAAAAAAAUUUUAAAGUCCAAACAUGUAGGAGAGUGUUGAAUGUGAAAAAAGAAUAAAAAUAUGCAGAAUUUAUCUGAAUUAUGGAUCAUUUUGAGUUGACUAUUUAAUCUUUCGAAAUUUUGAUUUUAUCGUUCAAUCUUUAAAUUUCUUUGAUUUCGGUCGGUAAACGAUUUUUUAACUUCAAAAUUUGAAUGUUUCGUUUAUCUUUAUAAAUUUAGUUAGCAUACUUCACGCAAUUAUCGCAACUGUAAAUUUAUUAAAAUAAAUAAUUAGCUUAAAUUUUGAAGUCAAAAUUCUAUAUACUGAUUCAAAUCAAACAAAUUGACAGGUUGGAUAAGAAAAAUUUUGGAUAAUCAACUCAAAAUGAUUCAUAGUUCAGAAAAGUUUUGUAUGUUUUUACUAAUAAUAAAAAUACUAUAUUUUCUGAUAGUUUAAUUUUUUUUUAGGAAUUAAUGAUUAUUUUAUUUUUUUAAGAAUUAAUGAUUAUUUUAUAUAAUUUAAUAGUAGCUUGGGAAUAUACUAUACUAUCACCAUUCACCCAAUAAAUUAACGUUUUCCAUGAUUUAAAUAUUAUUAUUUUUUUAAGACUAACUGAGAUUCUAAAUAGGGAAUUUUGUAAAGUUAGAAAAAUUUUGGUUCACAGAUGACAACAUGGUGGAAGAUGUAUAGAGAAUACUAUCUCUUCUCAUGUGUUUCUGGUGAAAUUGUUGCCUACUUGGUGUAUAGUACAUGUUGGUACAACUUAUACAAUAUAUACACCUUAAUUAAAUACUAAAAUAGAGGACUCAAAGUUCUAAAUCUAACUCAAUUGAAUAUUUUUAUGCAAUAUUAAAAAUCUUACAUGUUAGAUAUUUGUUUUUCAUUUUUACAAAUCAAAUAAUGCUCCUAUCUCUGCUGUUAAUUUUGAUUAAUGUAUAGUUAAUCAAAAAAUUUUGAAUUUUGAAUAUAGCUAAUAUAACAACAAUUUAAGAUCAGAUCAUAUAUAUCUCGAUCAUUAAUCUAAACUUUAAGACUAAAUUAUACGUCUCAGAUGUUCAGCUCAAGUAAAAAAUUCUUAAAAUCUCGUGCUUUUUAGUACUCAAUAUAUAUUGGUAUAUAACCUUGUAAAAGUCCUUUUGUAUUUUAUAGAUGUAUAAAAAAAAAAAGUUAAUUAGGCUCUUCAAAAUUUUUUGCAUGUAGCUAGACUCCUCGAGUAAGUUUUCUUUUCUUCUUCUUUAUUUUUUUAUAAUAACAUAUCAUAUAUUAUUAUUAUUAUUACUAUUACUACUACUAUUAUUAUAAUUAUUGUUAUCGUGCAUGUAACUACACAAAUAUAUGGCGUAGUGACAAAGACCAAUUUAGGGUUAUAUGUUUUGAAGAAACACGAUCCAACCAAACUGAAUCGAAAUUUCGUUGAGUUCAGUAAUUCUUGUAAUUAGCGCGAUAAAUUUUUAAAUAGUCAUAACCUUUUCGCUAGCUUGAGUAUAUAUCUGAUUUUAACGUGCAAUCUCAAUUCGAAAUAUACUUUCGAGAUCUACGCAUCAAAUGGCCUUAGCCACUUUGGCUGAGUUUGAGACCCAAAUUCAAUUGUUUCGAUCUCUGUUUUUAUAUUCUUAGUUUAUUUUUGAAAAAUUCUGCAUUUUUUUUUACUUUUAUAUGAUCAUUUAAUUAUUUUUUAAUCUAAUUAGGUUUAGAGAUAUAUUGGAAUUUAUUAUUUUCGUCUAGUAAGAUUCAAAAUUUAUUUUUUAUAAUACAUAAACGUGACGUUCGGUUAAUGUAAUUAGAGAUUUUGAAAGUUGAUUAAUAAUAUCUUAUCUUUGUCGAAAAUUUGAUUUUUCAUGUAUCAUCUCUUUCCGUCUGUUUUUUUUCUCUCUCAACGCAGCUUUAGGUGUGCAUCUGUUAAAGUUAAAUUAGUAUCAUUCAUGCUAUUUGACUUGGCCACCCAGUUGUUUGAAGAAUCAAAAUACAUUCUCGGACGUCAACUUACAAGUCAAAAAUCGAUUCAACAAAAAAACAAAGAAAAAAAAAAAAAACUUUAAGAGCCUGUUUGGAUGCACAAUAAAAAAUCUCCAUGGAAUUUAUAAACUGUGGUUUUGGUCCAAAUGAAGUAAGAAAUCCUGUAAUUCUAAAAAAGUCCACUGAUUCAAUUUUUAAAAUUUAAAAUUUAAAUAAAAUUUAAAAUUUGAUAUGUGAAAUGUGAAAUUUUAAAUUUUAAAUUCUAAAUUUUAAAAUUUGAAAAUUAAAAUUUUAAAAUAUAAAAAUCUAAAUUUAAUUUUAAAAUUUUAAAAUUUUAAAUUUUAAAAUAAAAAAUUUUAAAUUUUAAAUUGAGAAUUUAGAAUUUUAAUUUUUAAAAAUAAAUUUAAAAUUUAAAGUUCAAAAUUUGAAAUUUAAACUAUGAGAUUUGAGAUUUGAAAUUUAAAAUUUAUAAUUUAUAAUUUAAAAUUUAAAAUUUAAAAUUUAUUAAUUUAAAAUUUAAAAUUUAAGAUUUAUUAAUUUAAAAUUUAAAAUUUAUUAAUUUAAAAUUUAAAAUUUAAAAGUUAAAAGUUAAAAUUUGAAAAUUAAAAUUUAAAAUUCAAAAAUUACGUUAUUUGUUUUAAUAUAGUUUAACUAUACUCCAAAAAUUACGUGUUUUUUUUUUUUUCCAAUCUCUUUAUAGGAUAAUUUUUCCUACCGGUGUAGUAUAGUUUAACUAUGCUACGUUUUUAGGGAUAUCCAAACGGGGUCUUGGUAGUUAAUGAUUGUUUAUUUGUAUAAUUUUAGGAUGCUUAUUACUCUUUAAUUACUGCUUAUGGCAACCAUCUCUAAGGCACACUAAUCAAUUAAAUACAAACAAAACAUUUUAGGACAAGAACAAAAGUUUCAAUGUCUCCCACUCUAGAUCAACAAGGAAAGGGACUUCAAACUAAUGUCUCACACUCUAGAUCAACUAGGAAAGGGACUUCAAACUAAUGUCUCCCACUCUAGAUCAACAAGGAAAGGGACUUCAAACUAAAACAAAGACCAAGAUAAGCUAAUUCAUUAUUGGAGUGCAAGUCAAUUGCUGGCUGGUGUUCAACUGUUCCACUUGGGCUUUAUUUGGAAAUGCCGCAGCGCGUGCAAGAAUCAAAAAUCGAUCGGUCAAACUGCUCGUACAGUUGAUAAAAAUACUAUAUUUUAUGCUAACGAUAGUAAAUUCUUGAUAAAAGUUGUUGAUGUAUAUAUGUUUUGUACUAAUCUUGCCAAUUUAACAUUAGAGUUUUUGAAAAAACGUGACUUAGCCAAGUUGAGUCGAAAAUUACGAUGAAUUUGAUAAUUUUUACAAUAAGUGUGAAAAGUCUUUAAAUGGUUUUCGUGUAUCUCUUUUUUUCCGUCCUUAUGCUUCUUCCCUCUCAACACGAUUUAGGUCUGCGUCAUGCACUACAACAGAAUUAGGUUAUAGGGAUACAUGUUUGGGACACUUUUGAGUAAGUGUCCCAUUUAUACUAAAACUUAAAAAAAUAUCUACUUAUGCCUAAAUAUAAAGCCCAAUCUAACCAAAAAUAAGAGAUUACUCUACUCAACCCACCACACCCAGUCCAUUUGAGCCGAUUACAAAUAGAAAAGAAAAAAAAAGAAAAAUAAAUUACCAUUUUUUCUUCUCUCUUCACUCAAUCCACUGAAAUUUUAGACGAAGAGCCUUUCUUGUCGUCCUCCUCCGCCACCGCAGCCAACGAGAUAGAGUUUCGGCGGUUGCUAAAUGCUUAAAUAAGUGUUGGUAAAUUAGCAGCACUCUUUUAGGUUAUAGCGACACUCUUUUACUGUCACUAUAUACCUAGCGACCCCACAUAUAGCAACACUUUUUAAAAGUGUCGGUAAUUUUAGCUAGCAGCACUUUUUUGACUUGUACCUACAUUUAAAAGUGUCGCUAUAGACCGUUUUUGUUGUAGUGGAUAUGUACGCAUUCUAAAUUAAAAAAAUUAUAAUUUCAUGAGAUUUUUCUUUUUUUUCUUUUUUUUUUUUUUUUCCUUUGAAUAGUUUGGAUGGAGCAACUGGUCCAGAUAAGAUUAAAAAAAAAAAGAAGGAUGUAAGUCAAUUUCCGUACUGAAUACGUUCUUGCAAGUUGCGAGAGACCAAGGGCACGCGCAUACGACGCCACCGUAAUACAUAAAAUAUUCCACACCACACCCUACAUAUUGGACCAAAAAUAAUGGUCCCAGUGCCAACUACAUAUAUACUGAUGCAAACUGUACAUUUACUGGCAGGGUCAACUUGUAGUUUCAACAUAUUAACGCGUUACCGACCGUUUCUAGAGCAAGUGACAAAAGACUUGGUGGUUGGUACCGAGGUCCCAAGUUCGAAUCCCAGUUGAUUUAUAUUUCCAGCUAAGUUUAUUUCUAAAUAAAAUAAACGAAGCGGGUAGCGUAUUACCUAUCUCAUCAAAAAAAAAAAAAAAAAAAAAAAAAACAUAUUAACGUGUUAUCCGAUCUGGGUUUUCAUAGUUUGAAUUAAGUGUAUGUGUAUUGAUCAGCUGUGGCCUUUCAAUCUCACGGAGCUAGCUAGUGCGACUUCGUUAAGGAGCUCCUCAACGAGAUCUUGCUAAAACUUUUUUUUUUGAGAAAAUAGGUAGCAUGCUACCCGUUUCGUUUUUUUCAUUUAGAAAUAAAUUUAGCUCAAAAUGUGAAUCAACUAGGAUUCGAACUUGGAUCUCGGAUACCAACCACCAAGCCUUUUGCCAUUUACUCUAGAGACGGUCGGUUAUCUUGCUAAAACUGUUAGUGCAAUGAUUCCGCUAUUCAUAUAUUGGCAACACAAUCGAUCAUACUUACACUAAUCGUGUUAAUAUAUAUUAGGAGGCGCCAAAUUAGACACAUGCACCACACUACUUAGAGAGUAGUGUAGGAUGAUCUUCAAUUAUAUAUUCAAAUUUGAUCCUAUUUAUUAGAGAGAUCGUGGAAGCUCGAGUCCAAAUUAAUUCAUGGAUAGGCUCGAACCCAUUAAUUAGUAUGUCUCGAAUUUAUACUGCCAAUAAUUAUUAAUUGUAGGACUAAUUAUAGUGACACUUUCAAGGAUUAAUAUCUUUGUAAAAUCAACACUUUUAUUAAGGGGUAUAUACAAUUAAUAUGUUCAAAUUUCACAGAGUAAUACGACUGCAUGCGCGUAGAAGAUGAUUUUAUAGGAAUGUAUAUAUGUAUGUAAAAGCCUCAACCAAUAGACACAUCUAAUAGUUGUGAUCUCCUGACUCUUUCUAGCGCAAGUGGUAAAAAACUUGAUGGUUGAUAUCAAAAGUUAAUUUCAAGUUUGAAAUUUAAUUACUUCAUAUCCCCAACUAUGUUUAUUUCUAAAAAAAUAAAUAAUAAACGACGCGGACAGCAUGUUACCCUCCUCUCUAAACAAAAAAAAGUCCUAAUCUGAUCGCAAAGAGAAACAAAGCCCCUCCCACGGAUAUUGGAAAAUUACUAAUCUUAUAUACGUGUUAAUAAGAAUGAUCAAUUUUUUCAUGCAUAUGCAUAAAGAUCGAUCAUUUGAGAAAAGAUUAACAUGUAAUUAUUAAUGAAAUCUUGAUCACUGUAUAUAGUACGGAAGGGACGACAAAGUAUAUAUUGUAUAUAUCACUACUAAGUGUGCUCACUACAUGUAUAACGAUACAUACUAAUCUACUAGACAAAAAGAUGAUCAUUUCACUAACUAGAGUUACACACUUUUUCGUUUUUCCUUUGGGAAUGUGCAUGGUAGUGAUAGAUACAUAUAUGUAUGUUUCUUAUAACCCACUAGCGAGUCAAUAGUCAAUACUAAACAAGACUAAAUGGAGCCCAUCUUAGUUAACAACUUGGUUGGGUGAUCAAUCAAUCGAAGUCGACGUAGUGAUCGACGACCUGAGACUAUUUCAACGCGGCAACGGGCUCGGGACCAUCGUAAUCUAUUAAAAUGAUCGAAAUCACGAAAUUAAAGUUGUGAUUUUGCAGGGUAAUUAAUUAGGAGAAUGAGCUGCAGAAUUAAAUGUUUAAAUGAAGCAUAUAUAUAUAUAUAUAUAUAUAUAUAUAUAUAUAGAGUGAGGCUACUAUGAUAUCGGAANAAAUAAAAAUCUUACAAAAUGUAAUAAUAUGACAUUAAAAUUUUAAAUCAAAGAUAUUGAUCUUGUUUUAUAUAGUAUAAAGAAUUUUCUAUCAAAAUUUCACGUGAUUCGGAUAUUUCUACACCGUUAAACUUGCAAACGGCUCACUACAGCCUUUGAAAUUUGUUGAUUUUGAGCCCAUUCGAUCACUAGGCAAAUGAUAUCGAAAAAUAAUAAAAUUUAUUUUCUAGGUACUCCAAAUACUCUAGAUCAAGUUUAACGGAGCCGAUCGACGAUUCGAAAGUCGGAACAUUGAAAACGAGCUGGAAGUACGAAAGGCUCCAUGCUUCCGAUAGCAUAGUAGCCUCACUCUAUAUAUAUAUAUAUAUAAGAUCAGGUUGGUUGGUCAGAUUCUACCACUAGUCAUAGGCUAUUCUUAAAUUGUUGACUAAUUGAUUUAUAGUUGUUGAAGGCUUUAAAUAGUUGUUGACUAUUUAAAUGUAUAAUAUUAAAAUGUAUAAUGUUUAAGGGUUUUUUUUUUUUUGAGAAAAAGGUAGCAAGCUACCUGCUUCAUUCAUUAAGCAGGUAUAAUGUUAAAUGGUUGUGUCAUCCACAUUGCAUCAAGUCAGGAGUCAUUGGCUCUGGUAGAUUUUUGAUUCUUGGAUUAAGAAAUGUGGGGUUAGAAGAACAGCGGUCCACAAGAUUAAGUGGGUGGUGGUUCGUGGAAUAGCAUAAUAUAAGGAGUAAAAUUAAUUGGUCAAAGAUAUAAAUUUAACAGUGAGAAAGUUAUAAGCAUCAAAUACUUUGUACUUUUAAAAGCACCAUAGUCGGACUAUGUGAGUGUUUGAUAUAGCAUUCGAAAAGUAAUUUUUGGUCCAAAAGUGAUUUUCGACUUAAUAGAACAUUUGACAAUCUAAUUUUCAAAAUCUGAUUUUGAUUUUUAGAAUCAACUUUUUAUUUUUCGAGGACCAAAAUCAGAAGCAGCUAAAAUCUGCUUCUUAAAAACUGAUUCUACUUUUGGACUCAAACUUUAAAUUUUUAUUUUGAUUUCAUAUUCAAAUUUUAAAUUUUAAUUAAAAUUAAAAUUUUUAAUUUAAUAUUUAAAAUUUUAAAUAUAAGAUUUUAAUUUUUAAUUUUUAAUUUUAAAUUCAAAUUUUAAAUCUUAAAUUUUAAAUUUUAAAAUUUUAACUUUCAAUUUAAAAUUUAAAAUUUAAAAUUUAAAAUUAUAAGUAGUGAUUUUUAAAUUACAAAUUACAAAAUUUAAAAAUUCAAAUUUAAGUUUUUUAAUUUUUCAAUUUUAAUUUUUAUUUAAAUUUUAAAUUGUUAGUUUUAAAUUUUAAUAUUCAAAUUUUAAAUUUUAAAUUUUCAAAUGUUAAAUUUUAAAAUUUAAAUUUAGAUUUUUUUUUGAAAUUUAAAAUUUAAAUUCCAAAAUUUUAAAUUAAAAUAUCAAAAUUUAAAUUUUUGUGCAAAUUUAAAAUUUAAUAUGUAAAAUUUUUAACUAAAAUUAAAAAUUAUAAUUUUUAAUUUAAAUUCAAAAUUUUAAAUUUUAAUUUAAAUUCAAAUUUUAAAUUUAAAUUUUUUCAAAUUUUAAAUUUAAAUUUAAAUUUUUAAUUUAAAUUCAAAUUUUAAAUUUAAAUUUAAAUUCAAAUUUUAAAUUUAAAUUUAAAUUUUAAAUUUUAUUUUUUAACAUAAAGUUUAAUAAAAAAAUAUUAUAUGCAAAUAUUAAAAAAAAGUGUUUUGUUGGUUAGUUCUUAAGAAGAGGCACUUUACAACAGACAAUGUUCUUAGGAGAGGAUGGACCGGAAACACGGUCUACAUGUUAUGUGGGGUGGAGGAGAAAACUGUAGACCAUUUUUUCACUCAAUG
Molecule: long non-coding RNA, 28130 nt
Filed under: Ananas comosus (pineapple)
Lineage: Eukaryota; Viridiplantae; Streptophyta; Magnoliopsida; Poales; Bromeliaceae
Description: long non-coding RNA (ACOM_LNC019146)
Source: RNAcentral